Molecule: ribosomal RNA, 453 nt
Filed under: uncultured bacterium
Lineage: Bacteria
Description: bacterial SSU rRNA
Rfam family: Bacterial small subunit ribosomal RNA
Source: RNAcentral
UCGUCAGCUCGUGUCGUGAGAUGUUGGGUUAAGUCCCGCAACGAGCGCAACCCUUGUCCUUAGUAGCCAGCACGUUAAGGUGGGAACUCUAAGGAGCCUCCCAGGGAUAACCUCGAGGAAGCACGGGAUGACGUCAAAUCAUCAUGCCCCUUAUGAUUUGGACUACACACGUGCUACAAUGGCGUAAACAAAGGGAAGCAAACCUGUGAGGGGGAGCGAAUCCCAAAAAUAACGUCCCAGUUCGGACUGCAGUCUGCAACUCGACUGCACGAAGCUGGAAUCGCUAGUAAUCGCGGAUCAGCAUGCCGCGGUGAAUACGUUCCCGGGUCUUGUACACACCGCCCGUCACACCAUGGGAGUUGGUAACGCCCGAAGUCAGUGACCUAACCGAAAGGAGGGAGCUGCCGAAGGCGGGACUGAUGACUGGGGUGAAGUCGUAACAAGGUAACCGUA